CUGACUUUAUCCAUAAAUGGAAACAGUUGGAAAGCAGCAGCAGCAUUUCAUUGGAGCAUUCCAAAGAUUACAGUGAAGCCUUACUAGAUCGAGCUGGAAUUUGGGGUUGUUUACAAGCUGGAGUCUUAUCUGCAAAAAUAGCUCAGUUUAUUACAUCAUCCAACUUCAGCUUCAGACUUGAUUGUUGCAUCUUGUCAUCAUUUUUCUUCAAGGGUUUGUUCAGGACCACAUUUCCACAUCCAAGGUCUGAUCGUGAGUAUGCAUCCUAUGAGAUAGGAUUUGACUGUGAGGUUGUUGAACUCAUUCCUGGAAUUGACCUUUUUUCAGACCGAUUUCGAGCUGAUGUACGCUCAGUGGUCGGAAGCCUAGACUUCCUUCUCCAUGAGCUAUAUAGUGCUCAGCAAAACCUGAAGGUUCUGCCUUUAUUCACACUCUACCAGUACUUUGUCAGUGUAAUCUGUCGUGACGUAUAUAGGAGUGUUUGGGGACGAAUACUGAAGGUCAGGGUUUUAGCAGAUUUGGGCCUCUUUGCAGAAGCUUUUGAUGAACACAGUUUCUU
Molecule: non-coding RNA, 559 nt
Organism: Chiloscyllium plagiosum (whitespotted bambooshark)
Lineage: Eukaryota; Metazoa; Chordata; Chondrichthyes; Orectolobiformes; Hemiscylliidae
Source: RefSeq, a predicted model, not a curated record